UUCCCCUAGUAACUGCGAGUGAAGCGGGAAAAGCUCAAAUUUGAAAUCUGGCAGCUUUUUGGCUGUCCGAGUUGUAAUCUAGAGAAGUGUUACCUGUGCUGAACCGUGUACAAGUCUCCUGGAAUGGAGCAUCAUAGAGGGUGAGAAUCCCGUCUUUGACAUGGACUAUCUGUACGUUAUGGUGCGCUCUCAAAGAGUCGAGUUGUUUGGGAAUGCAGCUCAAAAUGGGUGGUAAAUGCCAUCUAAAGCUAAAUAUUGGCGAGAGACCGAUAGCGAACAAGUACCGUGAGGGAAAGAUGAAAAGAACUUUGGAAAGAGAGUUAAACAGUACGUGAAAUUGCUGAAAGGGAAACGCUUGAAGUCAGUCGCGUUGACUAGAAAUCAGCCUUGCUCUUGCUUGGUGUACUUUCUUGUCGAUGGGUCAGCAUCAAUUUUGACCAUUGGAUAAAGUCUCUGGGAAUGUGGCAUCUUAGGAUGUGUUAUAGCCCAGGGUCGCAUACAGUGGUUGGGAUUGAGGAACUCAGCACGCCGCAAGGCCGGGUUUCGACCACGUUCGUGCUUAGGAUGCUGGCAUAAUGGCUUUAAUCGACCCGUCUUGAAACACGGACCAAGGAGUCUAACAUGCCUGCGAGUGUUUGGGUGGAAAAACCCAUGCGCGAAAUGAAAGUGAAAGUUGAGAUCCCCCUCGAAAGGGAGCAUUGACGCCCGGACCAGACCUUUUGUGACGGAUCCGCGGUAGAGCAUGUAUGUUGGGACCCGAAAGAUGGUGAACUAUGCCUGAAUAGGGUGAAGCCAGAGGAAACUCUGGUGGAGGCUCGUAGCGAUUCUGACGUGCAAAUCGAUCGUCAAAUUUGGGUAUAGGGGCGAAAGACU
Molecule: ribosomal RNA, 873 nt
Filed under: Inocybe sp. 11 TM03_497
Lineage: Eukaryota; Fungi; Basidiomycota; Agaricomycetes; Agaricales; Inocybaceae
Description: eukaryotic LSU rRNA
Rfam family: Eukaryotic large subunit ribosomal RNA
Source: RNAcentral